This 301-nucleotide ribosomal RNA is filed under the name uncultured bacterium. RNAcentral's name for it is "partial 16S ribosomal RNA". It matches the Rfam family "Bacterial small subunit ribosomal RNA", at positions 509 to 807 of the family's 1533-position model. The record is from RNAcentral.
CAGUCGCCACGGUAAUACGAGGGGGGCAAGCGUUGUUCGGAAUUAUUGGGCGUAAAGGGCGCGUAGGCGGUUUGGCAAGUUUGGCGUGAAAUCUUCGGGCUCAACUCGAAGUCUGCACCGAAAACUGCCGGGCUUGAGUAUGGGAGAGGUGAGUGGAAUUUCCGGUGUAGCGGUGAAAUGCGUAGAUAUCGGAAGGAACACCUGUGGCGAAAGCGGCUCACUGGACCAUUACUGACGCUGAGGCGCGAAAGCUAGGGGAGCAAACAGGAUUAGAUACCCCAGUAGUCCCUGUCUCUUAUAC